AGCUUUACGUCAAUCACCUAAAGUAAUUCCUGCUCAGUGAACACAAACAGCCGCAGAAUUUUAUACUGUGCUAAGGUAGCAUAAUCACUUGUCUUUUAAUUUAAGAAUAGAAUGAACGGAACCACGAAUUUUAACCUGUUUCACUUUUUUCCAAUAAAACUACUUAAAAGUAAUAACACUUUUUUCCAAAAAAAAGACGAUAAGACCCUAAAGAACUUUACUAAAGUUAAGCUGGGGCGGCCUAAUAAAAAAAUCUUACUUUAACUCUUUCAUCCUAGCUAUAUCAUUAAUGUUACCUUAGGGAUAACAGCAUAAUUUAAUUUUAUAGCUCUUAUUUAAAAUUAAGAUUAUGACCUCGAUGUUGAAUUAAAAAUCUUUUAAACGAAAAAAAUUAACAAGAAAGUCUGUUCGACUUUUAAACAAUUACA
This 428-nucleotide ribosomal RNA is filed under the name Dysdera erythrina. Its description in RNAcentral is "partial 16S ribosomal RNA". It matches the Rfam family "Bacterial large subunit ribosomal RNA", at positions 1817 to 2600 of the family's 2925-position model. The record is from RNAcentral. Lineage: Eukaryota; Metazoa; Arthropoda; Arachnida; Araneae; Dysderidae.